GGUUAAGUUAACAAGGGCGCAUGGUGAAUGCCUUGGCACUAGGAGCCGAUGAAGGACGGGACUAACACCGAUAUGCUUCGGGGAGCUGUACGUAAGCUAUGAUCCGGAGAUUUCCGAAUGGGGCAACCCAGCAGUUUUAAUCAACUGUUACCACUAGAUGAAUUCAUAGUCUAGUUGGAGGUAAACGCUGUGAACUGAAACAUCUCAUUAGCAGCAGGAAUAUAAAGAAAUUUCGAUUCCCUAAGUAGCGGCGAGCGAACGGGGAACAGCCCAAACCAAAGUGCUUGCACUUUGGGGUUGUAGGACUGAACAUUUGAGUUACCAAAGAACUUGAUAGUCGAAGGAUUUGGGAAAAUCCGCCAUAGAUGGUGAUAGCCCAGUAGAUUAAAUCAAAUUCUCUCAGUUCAGGAUCCUGAGUACGGCGGAACACGUGAAAUUCCGUCGGAAUCCGGGAGGACCAUCUCCCAAGGCUAAAUACUACCUAGUGACCGAUAGUGAACCAGUACCGUGAGGGAAAGGUGAAAAGCACCCCGGGAGGGGAGUGAAAUAGUUCCUGAAACCAUGUGCCUACAAUAAGUCAGAGCGCGUUAAUGCGUGAUGGCGUGCCUUUUGUAGAAUGAACCGGCGAGUUAUGAUCCCGUGCAAGGUUAAGACUAAAAAGUCGGAGCCGUAGCGAAAGCGAGUCUGAAAUGGGCGUUUUGAGUACGAGGUUAUAGACCCGAAACCAGGUGACCUAUCCAUGUCCAGGUUGAAGGUGCGGUAAAACGCACUGGAGGACCGAACCCGUGUAAGUUGAAAAUUGCUGGGAUGAGGUGUGGAUAGCGGUGAAAUUCCAAACGAACUUGGAGAUAGCUGGUUCUCUCCGAAAUAGCUUUAGGGCUAGCCUCGGAAUUAGGAUCAUGGAGGUAGAGCACUAUUUGGACUAGGGGCCCGUCUUGGGUUACUGAAUUCAGAUAAACUCCGAAUGCCAUUGAUUCAUAUCCGGGAGUCAGACGAUGAGUGAUAAGAUCCACCGUCGAAAGGGGAACAGCCCAGACCAUCAGUUAAGGUCCCUAAAUGUAUGCUAAGUGGAAAAGGAUGUGGAGUUGCAUAGACAACUAGGAUGUUGGCUCAGAAGCAGCCACCAUUUAAAGAGUGCGUAAUAGCUCACUAGUCGAGUGAUCCUGCGCCGAAAAUGUACCGGGGCUAAGCAUACUACCGAAACCAUGGAUGCGACCAUUAGGUCGCGUGAUAGGAGAGCGUUCUAAGGGCGGUGAAGCAAGAUCGUGAGGACUUGUGGAGCGCUUAGAAGUGAGAAUGCCGGUAUGAGUAGCGAAAGAUAGGUGAGAAUCCUAUCCACCGAAUGACUAAGGUUUCCUGGGGAAGGCUCGUCCUCCCAGGGUUAGUCGGGACCUAAGUCGAGGCCGAGAGGCGUAGACGAUGGAUAACAGGUUGAGAUUCCUGUACUAGUUAAGUGCGUUUGAGCAAUGGAGGGACGCAGGAGGCUAAGAUGUGCAUUCUGUUGGAUUAGAAUGUCCAAGCAGUAAGUCUUGUGAAGAGUCAAAUGCUUUUCACUUUAAGGACAAGCUGUGAUGGGGAGCGAAAUUUAGUAGCGAAGCGUCUGAUGUCACACUGCCGAGAAAAGCUUCUAGUGAGUACUUAACUACCCGUACCGCAAACCGACACAGGUAGUCGAGGAGAGAAUCCUAAGGUGAGCGAGUGAACUCUCGUUAAGGAACUCGGCAAAAUGACCCCGUAACUUCGGGAGAAGGGGUGCUGAUCGCAAGAUCAGCCGCAGUGAAUAGGCCCAGGCGACUGUUUAUCAAAAACACAGGUCUCUGCAAAAUCGUAAGAUGACGUAUAGGGGCUGACGCCUGCCCGGUGCUGGAAGGUUAAAAGGAUGGGUUAGCUUCGGCGAAGCUCAGAAUUGAAGCCCCAGUAAACGGCGGCCGUAACUAUAACGGUCCUAAGGUAGCGAAAUUCCUUGUCGGGUAAGUUCCGACCCGCACGAAAGGCGUAACGAUCUGGGCGCUGUCUCAACGAGAGACUCGGUGAAAUUAUAUUGUCCGUGAAGAUGCGGACUACCCGCGACAGGACGGAAAGACCCCAUGGAGCUUUACUGUAGCUUGAUAUUGAGUGUUUGUACAGCUUGUACAGGAUAGGUAGGAGCCAUAGAAACCGGAACGCUAGUUUCGGUGGAGGCGUUGGUGGGAUACUACCCUCGCUGUAUGACCACUCUAACCCGCACCACUAAUCGUGGUGGGAGACAGUGUCAGGUGGGCAGUUUGACUGGGGCGGUCGCCUCCUAAAAAGUAACGGAGGCGCCCAAAGGUUCCCUCAGAAUGGUUGGAAAUCAUUCGCAGAGUGUAAAGGCACAAGGGAGCUUGACUGCGAGACAGACAGGUCGAGCAGGGACGAAAGUCGGGCUUAGUGAUCCGGUGGUACCGUAUGGAAGGGCCAUCGCUCAACGGAUAAAAGCUACCCUGGGGAUAACAGGCUUAUCUCCCCCAAGAGUCCACAUCGACGGGGAGGUUUGGCACCUCGAUGUCGGCUCAUCGCAUCCUGGGGCUGUAGUCGGUCCCAAGGGUUGGGCUGUUCGCCCAUUAAAGCGGUACGCGAGCUGGGUUCAGAACGUCGUGAGACAGUUCGGUCCCUAUCCGUCGCGGGCGUAGGAAAUUUGAGAGGACCUGUCCUUAGUACGAGAGGACCGGGAUGGACAUACCUCUGGUGUACCAGUUGUGCCGCCAGGCGCAUCGCUGGGUAGCUACGUAUGGAUGUGAUAAACGCUGAAAGCAUCUAAGUGUGAAACACACCUCGAGAUGAGAUUUCCCAUUCCUUUAUGGAAGUAAGACCCCUGAAAGAUGAUCAGGUAGAUAGGUUAGAAGUGGCAGUGCGGUGACGCAUGAAGCGGACUAAUACUAAUCGGUCGAGGACUUAACCAA
Molecule: ribosomal RNA, 2921 nt
Filed under: Lactiplantibacillus plantarum
Lineage: Bacteria; Bacillati; Bacillota; Bacilli; Lactobacillales; Lactobacillaceae
Description: 23S ribosomal RNA
Rfam family: Bacterial large subunit ribosomal RNA
Source: RNAcentral